UGAACGCUGGCGGCAUGCCUUACACAUGCAAGUCGAACGGCAGCACGGGUGCUUGCACCUGGUGGCGAGUGGCGAACGGGUGAGUAAUACAUCGGAACAUGUCCUGUAGUGGGGGAUAGCCCGGCGAAAGCCGGAUUAAUACCGCAUACGAUCUACGGAUGAAAGCGGGGGACCUUCGGGCCUCGCGCUAUAGGGUUGGCCGAUGGCUGAUUAGCUAGUUGGUGGGGUAAAGGCCUACCAAGGCGACGAUCAGUAGCUGGUCUGAGAGGACGACCAGCCACACUGGGACUGAGACACGGCCCAGACUCCUACGGGAGGCAGCAGUGGGGAAUUUUGGACAAUGGGCGAAAGCCUGAUCCAGCAAUGCCGCGUGUGUGAAGAAGGCCUUCGGGUUGUAAAGCACUUUUGUCCGGAAAGAAAUCCUUGGCUCUAAUACAGUCGGGGGAUGACGGUACCGGAAGAAUAAGCACCGGCUAACUACGUGCCAGCAGCCGCGGUAAUACGUAGGGUGCGAGCGUUAAUCGGAAUUACUGGGCGUAAAGCGUGCGCAGGCGGUUUGCUAAGACCGAUGUGAAAUCCCCGGGCUCAACCUGGGAACUGCAUUGGUGACUGGCAGGCUAGAGUAUGGCAGAGGGGGGUAGAAUUCCACGUGUAGCAGUGAAAUGCGUAGAGAUGUGGAGGAAUACCGAUGGCGAAGGCAGCCCCCUGGGCCGAUACUGACGCUCAUGCACGAAAGCGUGGGGGAGCAAACAGGAUUAGAUACCCUGGUAGUCCACGCCCUAAACGAUGUCAACUAGUUGUUGGGGAUUCAUUUCCUUAGUAACGUAGCUAACGCGUGAAGUUGACCGCCUGGGGAGUACGGUCGCAAGAUUAAAACUCAAAGGAAUUGACGGGGACCCGCACAAGCGGUGGAUGAUGUGGAUUAAUUCGAUGCAACGCGAAAAACCUUACCUACCCUUGACAUGGUCGGAAUCCCGCUGAGAGGUGGGAGUGCUCGAAAGAGAACCGGCGCACAGGUGCUGCAUGGCUGUCGUCAGCUCGUGUCGUGAGAUGUUGGGUUAAGUCCCGCAACGAGCGCAACCCUUGUCCUUAGUUGCUACGCAAGAGCACUCUAAGGAGACUGCCGGUGACAAACCGGAGGAAGGUGGGGAUGACGUCAAGUCCUCAUGGCCCUUAUGGGUAGGGCUUCACACGUCAUACAAUGGUCGGAACAGAGGGUUGCCAACCCGCGAGGGGGAGCUAAUCCCAGAAAACCGAUCAUAGUCCGGAUUGCACUCUGCAACUCGAGUGCAUGAAGCUGGAAUCGCUAGUAAUCGCGGAUCAGCAUGCCGCGGUGAAUACGUUCCCGGGUCUUGUACACACCGCCCGUCACACCAUGGGAGUGGGUUUUACCAGAAGUGGCUAGUCUAACCGCAAGGAGGACGGUCACCACGGUAGGAUUCAUGACUGGGG
Molecule: ribosomal RNA, 1452 nt
Filed under: uncultured organism
Description: SSU rRNA
Rfam family: Bacterial small subunit ribosomal RNA
Source: RNAcentral